This 499-nucleotide ribosomal RNA is filed under the name uncultured bacterium. RNAcentral's name for it is "partial 16S ribosomal RNA". It matches the Rfam family "Bacterial small subunit ribosomal RNA", at positions 28 to 523 of the family's 1533-position model. The record is from RNAcentral.
GAUGAACGCUGGCGGCGUGCCUAACACAUGCAAGUCGAGCGAGAAGUUUGAAAAAUGAGUUUUCGAACAAGUGAUUCAAACGGAAAGCGGCGGACGGGUGAGUAACGCGUAGGCAACCUGCCCCGUGCAGAGGGACAGCCUCGGGAAACCGGGAUUAAGACCUCAUGAUAGCGGAUUAUCACAUGGUAAUCCGGUCAAAGAUUUAUCGGCAUGGGAUGGGCCUGCGUCUGAUUAGCUGGUUGGUGGGGUAACGGCCUACCAAGGCGACGAUCAGUAGCAGAACUGAGAGGUUCAUCUGCCACAUUGGAACUGAGACACGGUCCAAACUCCUACGGGCGGCAGCAGUGAGGAAUAUUGCACAAUGGGCGAAAGCCUGAUGCAGCAACGCCGCGUGAGCGAAGAAGGCCUUUGGGUCGUAAAGCUCUGUCCUUGGGGAAGAAACAAAUGACGGUACCCUUGGAGGAAGCCCCGGCUAACUACGUGCCAGCAGCCGCCGUAA